CGUCAUUACAGUGCUGGCGGGUUGAUGGUACUGCCCAUGGAGCCGCCCACUGCCCUGCCCAAAAGAUUAUCUAAACAGCGCCAUUUUCCCCGGCCGCUCUCUCGCAUUACUCCGGUUAGAACCAUGGCGAAAGUACGAUCUGAAAAAGAGGCAGCGUUUGCUCUGUUGUUGGCUGCACAAACGAGCACAAAACUCCCUCGUCGGAGGAUUUGAGGACUCAAUGGGUGGAUUUUAUUUAUAAUGGGAAUGUACCCGCGGCACUUCCAAAAUAUCUGUACGUAUGUGUGUACCAUUUCACUUCGGACUGUUUUAUCAACGAGGGACAGUUCAACGCUGGAUUUGCUAGAUGUCUGAAGAUAAAGAAUGGAUCCGUACCAACUAUCCGUGAUCCUGCUACAAACGUGGCACCUGUAAGUACAGAACGUUUUAUUUUGACUUACUGUUUAGCGUAAAUUCCCCCGGUGCCUCUGCACGGCCACCACGCUUCGAUAAACACACCGAAUCCGCGCCGGUUUACCGGAUCCUUCCGUAUUUUAGCCGCUCGCUUCGGUGGCCCCUCCAGAGCAGCAUGUAGCUUUAGCAUUUACCCGUGCGGCGACGCGCCUCUUUUGGCUCAAAUACGGGACGUCCCGGCUACGCGUGACCCACCUGGCAGCUUUGAAUAAUACACAGGAUAUGUCGACUUGGUCGCUUGAAGUCGCGUUUCGUCUGAACGCGGCUGAGAGUUUUUUCUCUGGGUCAGACUCUGGCUCAAACUGGUAGGGUUGUACGAGCGAUCUUCUUGCAGCUAUGACCGAGCCAGUGUAAACAUUAGCACAUGGCUAUCGGAGCACAGCCACAGCCCCUUCCAGAGAGAUGGGUGUAAAGUGGACGUGGCUUAGGUGCAGCUCAUAUCAUCAAAGAGACAUCGCCCAAAACGGAGGAUUCUGAGCGGAGCUGUUUUUAGCUGAAAAAAAGAGCACUAAAAUAAUUGAUCCAAAUCGAAUUUUGACCGAAGGACGUCACAGACAUGCUUUUAACACACCAGGGGACUAUUUUAAAUUGUGUGAAAUUGGCAUGCCAUGGGACUUUUAACUAAUAGGAAUCAAUGUAGCUCUUUCCUUUAUAAAUUAAAGAACACCAUGAAGUCAAAGCACGUCAUAACACAAAUAUUGUACCAUAUGUGUUGUUUCACAGAUACUGACUUUUGCAUCCAGGACAGGAAUCUUCUCACCUAUCCUAAAGAUGAGUUGAUCCUAUCUAUAUCACUUUUAUGGAGGUUUUCCUUGAUAACUAUACAGAUGAUCAACAAAAUGCAGAAUAGGAACUCAUGAGUACUUGUGGAUGAUAUUCCAAAGCUCGAUUCCAUCAUCUCUGUAGUAGUAGUUGGGUAUUGCCUCCAGCCCACGCUCAGCAAUGUCGUCUGGUAUGCAGAGGGAGC
This 1420-nucleotide long non-coding RNA is filed under the name Xyrichtys novacula (pearly razorfish). The record is from RNAcentral. Lineage: Eukaryota; Metazoa; Chordata; Actinopteri; Labriformes; Labridae.